CGAGGAUGGGUGUUUAUGCAAAC
RNAcentral lists this non-coding RNA (23 nucleotides) under Arabidopsis thaliana (thale cress). The record is from RNAcentral. Lineage: Eukaryota; Viridiplantae; Streptophyta; Magnoliopsida; Brassicales; Brassicaceae.